AUCGCUUCUCGGCCUUUUGGCUAAGAUCAAGUGUAUUAAGAUUUGGGGAAAAUUCUAAGAGAUGGUUUUUAUCCUCAGGAUUUGAGAAAGGGGGGUAACAAAAGACCCCACUUAAAGAUGAAACAGGGUCAUUUUUCCCCAGUGAAGGAUUGAGUGCUGAGCGUUCUCUCAAGAACAGCAAGGCGUA
Molecule: small nuclear RNA, 187 nt
Organism: Suricata suricatta (meerkat)
Lineage: Eukaryota; Metazoa; Chordata; Mammalia; Carnivora; Herpestidae
Gene: U2
Rfam family: U2 spliceosomal RNA
About the family: U2 is a small nuclear RNA (snRNA) component of the spliceosome (involved in pre-mRNA splicing). Complementary binding between U2 snRNA (in an area lying towards the 5' end but 3' to hairpin I) and the branchpoint sequence (BPS) of the intron results the bulging out of an unpaired adenosine, on the BPS, which initiates a nucleophilic attack at the intronic 5' splice site, thus starting the first of two transesterification reactions that mediate splicing.
Source: Ensembl